GAGGUGACAAUACUAGCAGUCAGCAAACUAAGCUGAUGCGUCACUUCAUUACCAUUUUCUUGCCGCUGAACUUCAGUUUGCUGACUGCUAGUAUUGUCACCUCCCAACACUACCUGGCCACCAUUGGAUGGAGGGUCAUUAGCUGGUUGACUCUCUUGCACUCCAGAAUGAUUGGACUGCCUUUCAGCAUGACCACUGGCCGGAGUGAGACUGCGCAACUGAGACAGGAACAUUUCCUCUACUGCUUGCGCAAUUACAGCACCUUGGGUACUUGCUUGCAGCCUACCAUCAUCAGUCCACCGACCAUCCCCUG
Molecule: unclassified non-coding RNA, 313 nt
Filed under: Hevea brasiliensis (rubber tree)
Lineage: Eukaryota; Viridiplantae; Streptophyta; Magnoliopsida; Malpighiales; Euphorbiaceae
Source: RNAcentral